UGCGUAGGCGGCCAGAUCAGUCAGGCGUGAAAGUUUUCGGCUUAACCGGAAAAUUGCGUUUGAUACUGUUUGGCUAGAAUCAGGAUGAGGUUGGCGGAAUGUGGCAUGUAGCGGUGAAAUGCAUAGAUAUGCCAUAGAACACCGAUUGCGAAGGCAGCUGGCUGGACCUGAAUUGACGCUGAGGCACGAAAGCGUGGGGAGCGAACAGGAUUAGAUACCCUGGUAGUC
Molecule: ribosomal RNA, 228 nt
Filed under: uncultured bacterium
Lineage: Bacteria
Description: partial 16S ribosomal RNA
Rfam family: Bacterial small subunit ribosomal RNA
Source: RNAcentral